This is a long non-coding RNA of Stegostoma tigrinum, 1467 nucleotides long. RefSeq lists it as uncharacterized. The record is from RefSeq and is a predicted model, not a curated record. NCBI's taxonomy places the organism in Eukaryota, Metazoa, Chordata, Chondrichthyes, Orectolobiformes, Stegostomatidae. The transcript has 6 exons.
AUUGAGAUUCCUUUAAAAUUAUGUGUGGAAAUACAGCUGGAAAAAGUGUCCUGCAUAUAACAUUGCCAUGAAGCAGUCCAGGAUGAAUGUCCCACAAUCGACAUCAGUGAUGCAGUCCGAGAAGAGUAUCCUGCAGUCAGCAUCACAGUGAAGCAGCCUGGGAAGGUUGUCUAAAAGUGAUACAGGGUGAGAGGAAGCAGCUGGCUGAAUACAGUUAGAACAGAUUCCCAUCAGUGUCUCUACCACUUAUGAGCAAGGAACAUGAAGGACUUGGAAAUCCAGGCAUCCUGUCACCCAGUCAAUCUACUGAUGAAAUUACUGAAAGAAAAUGAAACAGAAAAACUACUUUUGCCUUGGUUUUAGCACUACAAAGUGCUGAUACAUGGGGUGUAGGUGCAUUGGAAUCUGUGUCUACACUAGCAGUUGCCAAGCAUAACUGCCCCAAUGUUUCUCCCCUUACCUUUUCCCUGUAGCACUGCAAAUUUGUCUUUUUAAGUGAACAAAUUAACAGAACUACUCGCAAACUGAACAAUCUUGCCCACCCCCCUGCCAUGCCUAACUGAAGAAAAUUCUACUGAUUUGUCAUCAUCUUACUUACCUGUGCCAGAUUUUCCAUCAUUCUGCUUUGCUCAAAGUAAAACAACUCCAGCCAAACCUUGGAUUUCCGUUGAGUUAUGUCAGUGGAUUAGAAUGAGAGAAUUUGUUUUACAUAGUGCCUUCACGAGUAAUCCUUUAGGGAAGGAGAUCUACCAUCCAUACGUGUGCUGGCCUCCUGUCCAGGCUCUGAACUAUGUUGGAAGUGACCUGAAUGAAGCAUCGUCAGAACAUUCCAACAAACACUAAAACAUCACUUGGCUGGUAGUGAGAAGAGCAUUACCUGUGAGAUCCUUCAUGUUCAUCCAAACUCUCUACACCACCACAGGCUGCCCUCGAAGUGGCUGCAGGGAUGGGGACGGCUAGAGAUUCUCUCACAUCUCCUGCUGGAAUGUGCCUUUGCAAAGGAAGUCUGCAGGAAGAUGCAGUGGUUUUUGUCAAGGUUCAUCCUGAGCAGUCCUGUGAUGCAGGACUCCUGGCUCUACAGUCUGUUCCCCUGGAGUCGCUGAGACAAAUAUCAACUGUGCCUGGUGGACCAUCAACUCAGUGAAAGAUGCCUAAAACUUGUUGGUCUUCCAGAGCAAAGAGUUGACCCCAACCAAGUGUUGCAGACUGGCACAUUCCAAGGUCUCAGGACUAUGUGCUGAUACAUGCACCAAAGCUAGGGGCAGCUGCUGCCAGGGCGCAGUGGGGAUUGACCUCUGUCUAAGGUCUUCCUGCUGAAGGUAAAUGGGGGUCUGUUCAGUUAUCAGACCCUCCAGUGCCACAAAUAUGAUCUUUGACAAGGAAGAAAUACCUUUGGUUGGUUUGUUGGAUAAAGUCAAACUCCCUUGUUUGUUUCUUCAUAUGCUACUGUACAGAACUGAAUGCUUU